RNAcentral lists this ribosomal RNA (852 nucleotides) under Eratigena sp. 1 AB-2015. RNAcentral describes it as "SSU rRNA". It matches the Rfam family "Eukaryotic small subunit ribosomal RNA", at positions 55 to 906 of the family's 1831-position model. Lineage: Eukaryota; Metazoa; Arthropoda; Arachnida; Araneae; Agelenidae. RNAcentral also lists the same sequence under 9 other names. The record is from RNAcentral.
AUGUCUAAGUACAUGCCGUAUUAAGGCGAAACCGCGAAUGGCUCAUUAAAUCAGUCAUGGUUCCUUGGAUCGUACCUUACUACUUGGAUAACUGUGGCAAUUCUAGAGCUAAUACAUGCAGCAGAGCUCCGACCUUCGGGGACGAGCGCUUUUAUUAGACCAAAACCAAUCGGACCUCGUGUCCGUCUCUUGUGGUGACUCUGUAUAACUUUGGGCUGAUCGCACGGGCCUGUCCCGGCGACGUAUCUUUCAAGUGUCUGCCUUAUCAACUUUCGAUGGUAGGUUAUGCGCCUACCAUGGUCGUAACGGGUAACGGGGAAUCAGGGUUCGAUUCCGGAGAGGGAGCCUGAGAAACGGCUACCACAUCCAAGGAAGGCAGCAGGCGCGCAAAUUACCCACUCCCAGAACGGGGAGGUAGUGACGAAAAAUAACAAUACGGGACUCUUUUGAGACCCCGUAAUUGGAAUGAGUACACUCUAAAUCCUUUAACGAGGAUCCAUUGGAGGGUAAGUCUGGUGCCAGCAACCGCGGUAAUUCCAGCUCCAAUAGCGUAUAUUAAAGUUGUUGCGGUUAAAAAGCUCGUAGUUGGAUCUCAGUUCCAGACGGGUGGUCCGCCUACCGGUGGUUACUGCCUGUUCUGAACAGUCAGCCGGUUUCUCUUGAUGAUCUUCACCGGUUGUCUUGGGUGACCGGCAAGUUUACUUUGAAAAAAUUAGAGUGCUCAAAGCAGGCGUGACGCCUGAAUAAUGGUGCAUGGAAUAAUGGAAUAGGACCUCGGUUCUAUUUUGUUGGUUUUCGGAACACGAGGUAAUGAUUAAGAGGGACAGACGGGGGCAUUCGUAUUGCGACGCU